UCCCUGGAGUUGGAAGAGUGAUGCAUUUGGUCUCCAUAAAGGUGGGGGGUUUGGGAAAGACAGAUGAAAGUGAURCAGAGCCUCAGGGCACUGAUUUUCAUGAACAAUCUCCCCAGCUGUUAGCCCAGGUCCAGAGCCAUUUCCUUUCAGAAAAUACAUUUCUACCAACAACAUUUCAGAGUCCGGAAGGAAAUAUUUGAAAGUUACCUUUGGCAUUUCAAGGCUAGCACAAUUUCCACCAAGCUUCCUUUGAACUUCUAGAUAAAAUAUUAACUCCUGGACGAGGUACAGAGGCCCUGGCAAGCUGUCAACCUGCAACACAAUUAAGGAGACAGUCUCUGGUGAGAUAGCAUCCAGUACUUUAAAAACCAUCUGUGAUUAAUUUCACUUGACUGACAUACAGGAAAAAAAAUGAAGAUAUAGAGGUGGCAUCUCAGGGAGCUGGGCCCAUAUCUGCAGAGAUUGGGAAAAAGCUGCAUGUGAUUAAGAGGCACCAUUGAAAGUCUGGCCCCCUUCACUGCACUCUUUCAUUCCUCCUGGAGCAAGCAAGGCCACAUCCUUCCGCGGGGAGAGGGAACAAAGGCCACCUCCUUGCCUGUGCUCUGAGUUGGCUGGAUGUGAAAAACCUCCAGUUCAAGGGAGACACAGGAAAGCCGCUCCUUGUAGUGGACCUGGAGACACAACUUCCAAAGAAAGAGCUGGGAUCACUUGACUGCAGUGAUUGGAAAGAAGUCAUCAGUGACUGGAAAGAAUGCCAUCCCAGUGGCAUGACCUGUGUGCAGACAUGGCCAGCAGUAGCUCCUAUGCUGACUCCUCCAUACACUGCUGUUUGAUGCUCUCAGAGGUUGAAAAUUAUUUCCCUGUUUCCUGAAAGGGAGACACUGAAACAUCAGCUUCUAAACUAAUGUACUAUAUUGCUUUUUCCAGGACUGUGAUGCUCAGGAUUUCUUGUAGAGCACUAGAAGAUGUCUGCCUGUCUGUCAUURUCUCCAUGUACUGUUCUGU
Malurus melanocephalus (red-backed fairy wren) is the source of this 1005-nucleotide long non-coding RNA. RefSeq lists it as uncharacterized. The record is from RefSeq and is a predicted model, not a curated record. Lineage: Eukaryota; Metazoa; Chordata; Aves; Passeriformes; Maluridae. The transcript has 3 exons.